AGUGAACGCUGGCGGUAGGCCUAACACAUGCAAGUCGAACGGCAGCACAGGAGAGCUUGCUCUCUGGGUGGCGAGUGGCGGACGGGUGAGGAAUACAUCGGAAUCUACUCUGUCGUGGGGGAUAACGUAGGGAAACUUACGCUAAUACCGCAUACGACCUACGGGUGAAAGCAGGGGACCUUCGGGCCUUGCGCGAUUGAAUGAGCCGAUGUCGGAUUAGCUAGUUGGCGGGGUAAAGGCCCACCAAGGCGACGAUCCGUAGCUGGUCUGGGAGGAUGAUCGGCCACACUGGAACUGAGACACGGUCCAGACUCCUACGGGAGGCAGCAGUGGGGAAUAUUGGACAAUGGGCGCAAGCCUGAUCCAGCCAUACCGCGUGGGUGAAGAAGGCCUGCGGGUUGUAAAGCCCUUUUGUUGGGAAAGAAAUCCAGCUGGCUAAUACCCGGUUGGGAUGACGGUACCCAAAGAAUAAGCACCGGCUAACUUCGUGCCAGCCGCCGCCGUAA
Molecule: ribosomal RNA, 506 nt
Filed under: uncultured bacterium
Lineage: Bacteria
Description: partial 16S ribosomal RNA
Rfam family: Bacterial small subunit ribosomal RNA
Source: RNAcentral